GCGGACGUGGCGGAAAUGGCAGACGCGCCAGACUAAGGAUCUGGUGGGAUAAAACCCGUGGAGGUUCGAUUCCUCUCGUCCGCA
Molecule: transfer RNA, 84 nt
Filed under: Deltaproteobacteria bacterium
Lineage: Bacteria; Pseudomonadati; Myxococcota; Myxococcia
Description: tRNA-Leu
Rfam family: tRNA
About the family: Transfer RNA (tRNA) molecules are approximately 80 nucleotides in length. Their secondary structure includes four short double-helical elements and three loops (D, anti-codon, and T loops).
Source: RNAcentral